UACGUAGGGGGCAAGCGUUGUCCGGAAUCAUUGGGCGUAAAGCGCGUGUAGGCGGCUCGAUAAGUCUGCUGUGAAAGUCCAGGGCUCAACCCUGGGAUGCCGGUGGAUACUGUCGAGCUCGAGUCCGGAAGAGGCGAGUGGAAUUCCUGGUGUAGCGGUGAAAUGCGCAGAUAUCAGGAGGAACACCUAUGGCGAAGGCAGCUCGCUGGGACGUUACUGACGCUGAGACGCGAAAGCGUGGGGAGCAAACAGG
RNAcentral lists this ribosomal RNA (253 nucleotides) under uncultured bacterium. RNAcentral describes it as "partial 16S ribosomal RNA". It matches the Rfam family "Bacterial small subunit ribosomal RNA", at positions 524 to 776 of the family's 1533-position model. The record is from RNAcentral.